Molecule: non-coding RNA, 264 nt
Organism: Vicia faba (fava bean)
Lineage: Eukaryota; Viridiplantae; Streptophyta; Magnoliopsida; Fabales; Fabaceae
Source: the annotation of a GenBank genome assembly
AUGAGCAACUCUAUUUUCAGAGGUUUCUUAGAAAUAGAAAAUAGUAGAGAAAGUUCUGCUACAUUGAUUUCCAGUUUUUGUGACAUUUAUGAACCGGCAACAAAAGUUUUUGUGUUGAACAACCAUGCUUCCUUUUCUUUCUGUGUUGAAGAGGUAGCGUAUGUUAUUGGUAUGGAAAAUACCGGAACUGGUUUAGCAAUCUCUCGUGAAAGAAAAUUUCCUCAAUUUAUCUUUGACUUGAAAAAAGAUUUGAACUUGCCAUAA